RNAcentral lists this ribosomal RNA (458 nucleotides) under Nucras lalandii. RNAcentral describes it as "partial 16S ribosomal RNA". It matches the Rfam family "Bacterial large subunit ribosomal RNA", at positions 1923 to 2591 of the family's 2925-position model. The record is from RNAcentral. Lineage: Eukaryota; Metazoa; Chordata; Lepidosauria; Squamata; Lacertidae.
UUAAACGGCCGCGGUAUCCUAACCGUGCAAAGGUAGCAUAAUCACUUGUCCCCUAAAUAGGGACUAGAAUGAACGGCUACAUGAGGACUAACCUGUCUCUUACAUUCAAUCAAUGAAACUGAUCUUUCAGUCCAAAAGCUGAAAUUACCCCAUAAGACGAGAAGACCCUGUGGAGCUUACUAAACUAACCCCACCACCAUGGAGGCCUGGUUUUUAGUUGGGGCGACUGCGGAGUACAAUAAAUCCUCCGAAACCUCCCACAUAGAUUAACACAUCUUCACCUCCCCUGACCCAGUAAGUUUCCCUACUUACCUGAUUAAUGAACCAAGUUACCCCAGGGAUAACAGCGCCAUCCUCUUUAAGAGUUCCCAUCGACAAGAGGGCUUACGACCUCGAUGUUGGAUCAGGACACCCAAAUAGUGCACCCGCUAUUAAUGGUUCGUUUGUUCAACGAUUAA